RNAcentral lists this ribosomal RNA (570 nucleotides) under uncultured bacterium. RNAcentral's name for it is "bacterial SSU rRNA". It matches the Rfam family "Bacterial small subunit ribosomal RNA", at positions 215 to 783 of the family's 1533-position model. The record is from RNAcentral.
GGGGCUGUGGAUGAGCAUGCGGUUGAUUAGCUAGUUGGCGGGGUAAAGGCCCACCAAGGCGAUGAUCAAUAGGGGACCUGAGAGGGUGAUCCCCCACACUGGCACUGAGAUACGGACCAGACUCCUACGGGAGGCAGCAGUAGGGAAUAUUGGACAAUGGGUGUAAGCCUGAUCCAGCCAUGCCGCGUGCAGGAAGAAGGCCUUCUGGGUUGUAAACUGCUUUUGCCGGGGGAUAAAAGAUCCAUGCGUGGAGAAUUGAAGGUACCCGGUGAAUAAGCCACGGCUAACUACGUGCCAGCAGCCGCGGUAAUACGUAGGUGGCAAGCGUUGUCCGGAUUUAUUGGGUUUAAAGGGUGCGUAGGCGGUCCUGUAAGUCAGUGGUGAAAUACGGCAGCUCAACUGUCGAGGUGCCAUUGAUACUGCGGGACUUGAGUACAGACGAGGCAGGCGGAAUUGACGGUGUAGCGGUGAAAUGCUUAGAUAUCGUCAAGAACACCGAUAGCGAAGGCAGCUUACUAGACUGUAACUGACGCUGAGGCACGAAAGUGCGGGGAUCAAACAGGAUUAGAU